This 254-nucleotide ribosomal RNA is filed under the name uncultured bacterium. RNAcentral describes it as "partial 16S ribosomal RNA". It matches the Rfam family "Bacterial small subunit ribosomal RNA", at positions 524 to 776 of the family's 1533-position model. The record is from RNAcentral.
UACGUAGGGGGCAAGCGUUACCCGGAUUCACUGGGCGUAAAGCGCGUGUAGGCGGCUGGCCAAGCGUGGUGUGAAAUCUCCGGGCUCAACCCGGAAACUGCACUGCGAACUGGCCUGGCUGGAGUGCAGGAGAGGGAUGCGGAAUUCACGGUGUAGCGGUGAAAUUCGUAGAUAUCGGGAGGAACACCAGUGGCGAAGGCGGCGACCUGGGCCAAUAUUGACGCUGAGGUGCGAAAGCGUGGGGAGCAAACAGG